AUGGCCCUUGAGGGGAAAAAUAAUGAAUGCAGGAAGCAAGACUAAAAACGUGUACAAUUACAUGAUUUAAAAGAUUUUGCAAGAAAACCCACCAUGGUAUCAAGCCGAUUAUCAGAAGACCAGCAAGUACAACGCUUUCCCGGGAACGUUUUGGUAAUAGGACUUUCAAACUAGCAACUUGAGUCAAAGUAAGAAACAUGCUUUGGCUCUGAGGACCCAUCAGCUAAUAUUAACACGGGAAAGAGAAAGAACAGGUUGACAGGAAGCCCCAGCUCUCCCCUGAUUCCAUUCAGGAGAUCAUUAAGGAAGGAGUCUUGCUGUAAAGUACACCUUUUUUCCUCCGAUGACAGUGACAACCAGGGCGACUUGAGUCAGGGGCCAACCAGCUCUCCUUUGACAAACAAACACCCACUCUGUUUCCCUCUACAUAGCAUGUGCCAUAAAUACCACAUUUCAAAGAUGAAGCAGAGGCACAAGGAUUGAACAAGAAUAUUGAUGAGACGAAGGCCUGCAACAAGGACCUUCAAACACAGUGGCUCCAAGAAUACAGCUCACCUCCAUGUUUCGCCUGCUGCCUUUAGAAACACUAAGUGGAUGUUCCUGGAGGCUUUACUGACUGAGCCGUGUUCUCAGCCUCACCUUGAAGAAUCUCAACUGGAGUUCUGACACUACCGUGAGGUGAGCACUAAGCACCUAUCUACUAUUGUUCCAGCUUUACCUUUGAUGAAGAAAGAUCUAAGAAAAGCCAGAUUCUCAACCUGACCCCAAUGGUA
Non-coding RNA from Cricetulus griseus (Chinese hamster), 773 nucleotides. Lineage: Eukaryota; Metazoa; Chordata; Mammalia; Rodentia; Cricetidae. The record is from RefSeq and is a predicted model, not a curated record.